This 492-nucleotide ribosomal RNA is filed under the name uncultured bacterium. RNAcentral describes it as "partial 16S ribosomal RNA". It matches the Rfam family "Bacterial small subunit ribosomal RNA", at positions 29 to 507 of the family's 1533-position model. The record is from RNAcentral.
AGUGAACGCUGGCGGUAGGCCUAACACAUGCAAGUCGAACGGCAGCACAGUAAGAGCCUGCUCUUACGGGUGGCGAGUGGCGGACGGGUGAGGAAUACAUCGGAAUCUACUUUUUCGUGGGGGAUAACGUAGGGAAACUUACGCUAAUACCGCAUACGACCUACGGGUGAAAGCAGGGGAUCUUCGGACCUUGCGCGAUUGAAUGAGCCGAUGUCGGAUUAGCUAGUUGGCGGGGUAAAGGCCCACCAAGGCGACGAUCCGUAGCUGGUCUGAGAGGAUGAUCAGCCACACUGGAACUGAGACGCGGUCCAGACUCCUACGGGAGGCAGCAGUGGGGAAUAUUGGACAAAGGGCGCAAGCCUGAUCCAGCCAUACCGCGUGGGUGAAGAAGGUCUUCGGGUUGUAAAGCCCUUUUGUUGGGAAAGAAAAGCAGCAGGUUAAUACCCCGCUGUUCUGACGGUACCCAAAGAAUAAGCACCGGCUAACUUCGUG